CCUUGUUUAUUUCUCUUCAUUUUUUAUUCCUAUGGUUCUUUUCUUUAAAAAUAUCUUAUUUUAAUCAUCUCCUUCUCCAUCCACCAUUCUUCAUCUCCUUUCACUAAUCGCCUGGAGCUUUUAAUUAGUUUCACGUGUCAUAAAGUGUUUGUCAAAUCUUUGUGCACAUUUUCGUCUCACCAUUCGUCUCUGUCUAUGCUCUCAUCAUUACCUUUUCAUUUCCAAAAUAAUUCUAGUUCCUUUCUUGAAGAAUAUGACUAUUUAUACCUCAAAUAAUUUUCAGUUCUCCUAUUUGUGUUCUUUCAUUCAUCUCCCAACUUCCUUUUUUUUUUCACUUUUAUUUAGUCUUUCUCAAAUUAUUUUGCUAUGGAUGUUGGUUCCACUUUUGCUAGGAAAAGGAAUGCAUCUUCCCCUUUGAGAAGAAGUAACUCCCACUAUCUAAAGUUGCCUCAAUGUGAGAGACAUUCUACUCAAAUCGCAUGAAGCUCACAUUGCCCUACAAGAAGUUCACUAGAAGUUGUAAAUUAUCAACUGUCAAAUUGAGGAAGCAACUGAACUCUUAAAGAGUGUCCUUAGAUGUCUAGGAUUAGUUUCUUUUAAGUUUUCUUUUCUUUCCCUUCUCAGUUUUUUAUUGUUGUAAUCUUGGCUCUUAAAUCAAUGAAGUGAUGCCCU
This 672-nucleotide long non-coding RNA is filed under the name Cicer arietinum (chickpea). Its description in RNAcentral is "long non-coding RNA (CARI_LNC000681)". Lineage: Eukaryota; Viridiplantae; Streptophyta; Magnoliopsida; Fabales; Fabaceae. The record is from RNAcentral.